AUUCUUACCUGGUAGGGGAGAUGCCAGGAUCAUGAAGGUGGUAUUCCCAGGGCAAGGCUCACCCAUUAUACUCCAGAUAUGAUGAGCCCUGUGCUUUCCACAAAUAUUGGAAACUCAACUGCAAAAUUUGUGGUAGUGGGGGCCUACUUUCAUGCUCGCACUUU
Molecule: small nuclear RNA, 164 nt
Organism: Suncus etruscus (white-toothed pygmy shrew)
Lineage: Eukaryota; Metazoa; Chordata; Mammalia; Eulipotyphla; Soricidae
Product: U1 spliceosomal RNA
Exons: 1
Source: RefSeq, a predicted model, not a curated record